UACAGAGGGUGCGAGCGUUAAUCGGAAUUACUGGGCGUAAAGCGUGCGUAGACGGUUAUUUAAGUCGGGUGUGAAAGCCCCGGGCUCAACCUGGGAAUUGCAUUCGAGACUGAAUAGCUAGGGUACGGUAGAGGGAAGCGGAAUUUCCGGUGUAGCGGUGAAAUGCGUAGAUAUCGGAAGGAACAUCAGUGGCGAAGGCAGGUCUCUGGGCCACUACUGACGCUGAGAAGCGAAAGCAUGGGGAGCGAACAGG
RNAcentral lists this ribosomal RNA (253 nucleotides) under uncultured bacterium. RNAcentral's name for it is "partial 16S ribosomal RNA". It matches the Rfam family "Bacterial small subunit ribosomal RNA", at positions 524 to 776 of the family's 1533-position model. The record is from RNAcentral.